GACUGUACAAAGGUAGCAUAAUCAUUUGUUUCUUAAUUGGAAACUGGUAUGAAUGGUUUGAUGAAAAAUAGUCUUUCUUUAUAUUAUAUAUAAAAUUUAUUUUUUAAGUUAAAACACUUAAAUAUUUAUAUAGGACGAGAAGACCCUAUAGAACUUUAAUAUACUAUAUAUUUAUAUAAUUUGGUUUAUAAUUAUAAAAUUAUAUAUUAUAUUUAUGUUGGGGUGAUGAAUAAAAUAUAAUAACUUUAUUUUAUUGUUUCAAUUAUUUUUGAAUAUAUGAUCCUUUAUUUAAGAUUAAAAGAUUAAGUUACCUUAGGGAUAACAGCGUUAUUAUUUUGGAGAGUUCUUAUCGAUGAAAUAGUUUGCGACCUCGAUGUUGGAUUAAAAUAAGUAUUAAAAGCAGAAUUUUAUAUACUAGGUCUGUUCGACCUUUAUAUUUUUACA
RNAcentral lists this ribosomal RNA (444 nucleotides) under Pachypeltis sp. 20020C-19. Its description in RNAcentral is "partial large subunit ribosomal RNA". The stretch from base 318 to 444 matches the Rfam family "Archaeal large subunit ribosomal RNA", at positions 2542 to 2669 of the family's 2987-position model. Lineage: Eukaryota; Metazoa; Arthropoda; Insecta; Hemiptera; Miridae. The record is from RNAcentral.